GCUGGGCAUGGUAGCGCAUGCCUGUAGUCCCAGUUACUUGGGAGGCUGAGGUGGGAGGAUCACUCGGACCCAGGAGUUCUGGGCUGUAAUGCAAUAUGCUGAUCAGGUGUCCGCACUAAGUUCGGCAUCAAUAUGGUGACCUCCCAGGAGCGGCGGACCACCAGGUUGCCUAAGGACCGGUGAACUGGCCCUGGUCGGAAACGGAGGAAGUCAAAACUCCUGUGCUGAUCAGUAGUGGGAUUCCGCCUGUGAAUAGCCACUGCACUCCAGCCUGGGCAACCUAGUGAGACCCCAUCUCU
RNAcentral lists this signal recognition particle RNA (299 nucleotides) under Saimiri boliviensis boliviensis (Bolivian squirrel monkey). RNAcentral describes it as "Metazoan signal recognition particle RNA (ENSSBOG00000000281.1)". It matches the Rfam family "Metazoan signal recognition particle RNA". Rfam says of the family: The signal recognition particle (SRP) is a universally conserved ribonucleoprotein. It is involved in the co-translational targeting of proteins to membranes. Lineage: Eukaryota; Metazoa; Chordata; Mammalia; Primates; Cebidae. The record is from RNAcentral.